This 2232-nucleotide ribosomal RNA is filed under the name Triticum aestivum (bread wheat). RNAcentral's name for it is "partial small subunit ribosomal RNA". Lineage: Eukaryota; Viridiplantae; Streptophyta; Magnoliopsida; Poales; Poaceae. The record is from RNAcentral.
AUGGCGUCGGGGGGCGCGCAGAUGGAAGUCGAGCGGCGGCUGCGCGACGUCGCCGCGCGCUUCGUCUCGCUCCCGGAGUCCAACAAGGAGCUGCAAGCGUUGCUCGAGGAAGCUGAGAUCUGGUUGUCCAGGGUGGACCAGUCGCCACCCGAUAGCACGCGCACUGCUAUUCGGCCCAUGAUGGAUGCUUUGGUCAGAGAGGAUCUGCUAAACCACCCUCAUCCAGGGGUUAAGGUUGGUAUAGCAUGUUGCCUAACCGAGGUUACCAGGGUCUCUGCACCAGAUCCCCCUUAUGACGACGAUGUGAUGAGGGGUGUGUUCACAGUGGUUGUGGAUGCUUUCGGCAAGCUGGAUGAUACCAAAAGCCCAUUGUUUGCAAAGCGAGUUUCAAUGUUGGAAACCAUCGCCAAGGUCAGGUCUUGCGUCCUAAUGUUGGACCUUGACUGUGACGACUUGAUCCAGGAAACAUUCACACACUUUUUCAGGAUCAUAAGCCCAACACUUCAAGAAAGUGUCAUCACCUCUAUGGAAACUAUAAUGAUGUUUGUAAUCCAGGAGAGUGAGCCUGUCCAUCCAGGUCUGGCAUCUUGCCUCCUUCAGAAUCUUAAAAAGGAAAGGAAGGAUUCUCAUCUAGCAUCUUAUCGGCUUGCAAAGAGGAUAACACGUCUUUGUCCUGAAAAAUUAAAGCCGGCAUUUGCUGAGUUACUUCAGGGCACUCCCUUAGAUGAGUACAGCAAAGUUGUUGCAUCUUCGGUAGAAAGUUCUUCAGAUGCUGGAAGAGACAACAACAUUGACGCUGUUGAAAAUGACACGGAAUCUUCAAAGUCAGAGAAAGAUGGACAAGAUGGAAGUCCUACAAACAGUACUCCAAAUGGAUUAGCUUCUUCUGAACAGAAAUCUGAACUGCCUACUGAUGAUAAGAAAACAGCAGUUUCUGAUGACAAGGGGGCACCAGAACCAGUCACCGCAGAGACCGAAAAGCUAUCUGGUGUCAACUCAAAGAAAAGCAGUAAGGUUGGCACUUCCACUGAGUCCAAGGUGACUGAACAUUCUAAGGUUGCUAGCGAUAACCAGGACCUUGCAUCUGGGGAGCUGUCACCAGGGGCAAAUGGUGGCAAUAAUAAGCAGACGGUCGAGGCUUGCAACAAAGUGACAGAUGAUACGUCAAAGCCUCUUGAUAGUACACCUGCUGAUGACACAUCAAAGCCUGCUGAUAGUACACCUGCUGUAGAUAAACCAAAGCGAGACCGGCCUCCUGCAGUAAAGUCACAGGAGAAGAAGCCUGUUGGGAAGAGUCAAGGAUCAGGUCUAGAAUCUAAAGAAGUCCGCUCAGGCAGUACUUCUGGUGGAAGACCUGCAAGAAGACCCGCUAAAGAUAACAAAUUAUCAUCAAGAAAGUCCAGUGAAGAAGAAUCUUCAAAGAAGCAACCAACGGCCAGUUCCGAUCUGCGGAAAGAGGACACUCCCUCUGACGAAGACACUGAUGAAGAUCUCAGGUUGAAGGAAAUGGCGUCUCCUAAAUCAUCGACCAAGACGGGAAAAAGCAAAGGCCAACCAGGGGACAGUGGAGUGUCAAAAAGGAAACUUGUGCAGGAAGCUGAAGAGGUUCCUCAGUCAAAGAAGACCAAAGUUUUUGAUGGGAGCCUUGUUGGCUCAAGAAUCAAAGUGUGGUGGCCUGAUGACAAAAAGUUCUAUAAGGGUGCUGUUAAGUCAUUUGACGCUUCUGCAAAAAAGCACAAGGUUGUGUAUGAUGACGGUGAUAUUGAACAUCUGCAACUUAAGAAUGAAAGAUGGGAGUUCAUUGAUGAGGAGCAAGACGAGAAUCCUAAUGCAGCAUCUGAUAUCAGGUCUCGUGGUAGGAGAGGCAAGCAGGACAGCACUGGUGACAGCAAUCCUUCCAGGAAAAGAGGGCGUCCGAAAGUUGUGCGUGAGGAUAGCCCUGUGACUUCAGCCAAAUCGAAGGUGAAGACUGCAGAAAAGGAUGCUGAAGGUGGGGGGAGGUGGCCUCGAUCUGCUGGCAAGGGAAGCAGCAAGGAUGAGGCUGGCGGCAAGACUCCAAAAGGCGCAAGCGCUGUGAAAGCUUCUGAUGGAUCCAAGAGCAACGGUCUUUCAGGCAAACGGAAGCCCAAGGAGAAAGUACCAGAGUCAUCUGAUGAAGAGGAGGAAGAAGAAGAGCCGGUGUCUGCUAAGGCGUCCACAGGGAAGAAGCGCAGAAGGAAGAUGCUCAACUAG